This 386-nucleotide long non-coding RNA is filed under the name Capsicum annuum. Its description in RNAcentral is "long non-coding RNA (CANN_LNC020935)". Lineage: Eukaryota; Viridiplantae; Streptophyta; Magnoliopsida; Solanales; Solanaceae. The record is from RNAcentral.
GAUGAUUUGUGGGAUUAUUCUAAAUUUUAUCAUCCAGAAAUUUGGGUAGAUUCACAAAUGGAUUUGAACAUAACAAAGCAGUCAACUAGAACUCACGUAAUGAAUUCUUGAUUUAUUUUUUUCCAGUUAAUUUAUUGCAAGGUUAUGAUUUUUUUUCCAUUAGUCUCAUUGCUUAAUUGUAUUUUUUUCCUCUAUUGUUGGCUCAGGGAGGUGUGCAUGUUGAAUCUGUUGAUUGACCUUCUUUUACAGCAAAGAAAGGAAGCCAUUUUGAAAGAGAAAUCAUGAAGAAUUAUGUAGUUUUGUUGAAGAAGAAGAAGAGAAACUUUAGUAAAAUAUAGGUAUUAUCCAUUAGUUUCUUUUGUUAGUUAUGUGAAACACUUAUUUAG